Molecule: ribosomal RNA, 399 nt
Filed under: uncultured bacterium
Lineage: Bacteria
Description: bacterial SSU rRNA
Rfam family: Bacterial small subunit ribosomal RNA
Source: RNAcentral
CUGGGCUAGAAUGCCUCUGACCGGCGUAGAGAUACGCCUUCCUGGGUAAAACCAGGCAGAGUGCAAGGUGCUGCAUGGCUGUCGUCAGCUCGUGUCGUGAGAUGUUGGGUUAAGUCCCGCAACGAGCGCAACCCUUGUCACUAGUUGCCACGCAAGGGCACUCUAGUGAGACUGCCGGUGACAAACCGGAGGAAGGUGGGGAUGACGUCAAGUCCUCAUGGCCUUUAUGUCCAGGGCUACACACGUGCUACAAUGGUAAGUACAGAGGGAAGCCAACUCGCGAGAGGGAGCCAAUCCCAGAAAGCCGUCCGUAGUCCGGAUCGGAGUCUGCAACUCGACUCCGUGAAGUCGGAAUCGCUAGUAAUCGCAGAUCAGCAUUGCUGCGGUGAAUACGUUCCC